UCGAAAUGAUAUCAGCUAUUUAUGUGUAUUAUACCUCAAAUGAUAACAAAAUGUGUAAUAGCAAAAUAUUAUUGACUGUUGUAUUUGCAAUUUUCAGAUUGUUCACUAUAAAUACAGAUCGAAGAACGCAAAAAAAUUAAUUUGUUUUAUUUUACUAGUUUUUUGAAGCUACAAUAGCGAAGGAGAUCUAAUAUAACGGUUUGAAAAUGUACUACUUUUUAGUGUUAUCUUUUUGCGCCAUCCUCUUUUCUGGAUCCUGUACAGAACUGAUCCCUGAAGUUGCUUCGGAGGAUAAUGAUGUCCAAAAUAGCGUCGUAUACUGUCCAGGUGGAUAUUAUUAUUGUCAAGCCGGAUCGACAUGCUGUCCUCUACCAAACGGAGCAUACUCAUGUUGCCCAUACCCCUCAGCUAUGUGUUGUGCAGAUAUGGUUCAUUGUUGCCCAUACGGCACUCGAUGUGAUGCUACCUCUCAAUACUGUCUCCAUGGUUACAGCCUGAUGCUAUCACAAUCUAAGACACCUGCAUUUCCUAUGAAAUAAACAUCUCAGUCUCGUUUAACUUGUUUUAUACUCAUAUGUAAAUAUGUAAUAUAGAAAUAAAGGACUUAUUUUAUACUA
Parasteatoda tepidariorum (common house spider) is the source of this 617-nucleotide non-coding RNA. The record is from RefSeq and is a predicted model, not a curated record. NCBI's taxonomy places the organism in Eukaryota, Metazoa, Arthropoda, Arachnida, Araneae, Theridiidae.